UGUGUUCUUGUGUGAGCAUAAAAAACAAUAAGAAAUGAUUUCGUGUACAGUCCUUGAGUUCUCUGAUAUGAGCUGGGUUUAUUCUCUAUGAUUCUUCUUCCUUUUCUUAACAACAUGGAUGAAAAUGUAGAAGAGAAAUUAUAAAUGUAUGGGGUUUGAGGUAACCUUGUGUGGAGUUGUUCUUGAAGGCGUUGCUGGAGUUGUUUGAGAGUUUCUUGAUUUACUGAGUAUGGUUGAAAACAGC
Molecule: long non-coding RNA, 244 nt
Filed under: Salvia miltiorrhiza (redroot sage)
Lineage: Eukaryota; Viridiplantae; Streptophyta; Magnoliopsida; Lamiales; Lamiaceae
Description: long non-coding RNA (SMIL_LNC012013)
Source: RNAcentral